AUGAUUCGAUAUCCUAAUUAAACGACCUCCAUAAAAUAAAAUAAAAUAAAAUAAAAAUAGUACUUUGGAGGAACGAAGGUAUUCGGAUGAUCAAUCUGAAUGUUGAUCUUAAUCGUCGUACGUACGGCACUCAUCGGUCUCUGGGUUGUCCUUGCAGUAAGUCUCCAAGGGGUCGGCGUCUUUCGCCUUGUCUCUGGCAUGGCUAGAAGCGGCACUCAGCUCUUCCACUUCAUCCCACGCCGCCACACACUCACCGCUGACAGGGUCAUCUGCACAUGACUCCUUGGCGUUCUCGAUGCUGGAGGCUAUCUUUUCCGACAAACUUUCAGGUGCCGCCCUCACCGGCAUCAAAUACAUCCUUCCUGAG
RNAcentral lists this long non-coding RNA (367 nucleotides) under Lactuca sativa (garden lettuce). RNAcentral's name for it is "long non-coding RNA (LSAT_LNC005225)". The record is from RNAcentral. Lineage: Eukaryota; Viridiplantae; Streptophyta; Magnoliopsida; Asterales; Asteraceae.